Molecule: long non-coding RNA, 1633 nt
Organism: Pyrus x bretschneideri (Chinese white pear)
Lineage: Eukaryota; Viridiplantae; Streptophyta; Magnoliopsida; Rosales; Rosaceae
Exons: 6
Source: RefSeq, a predicted model, not a curated record
UUUAGUCUAAAGAAGCUGGCAAAAUUGCACUGUAGAAAUGAACAGUGUUUUGUAAGACAUUUCAGUUUAUUUACAAGAUUACCACUGGCCCUCUCUGCCGUUAGUCUUGAUGCAUACGUGUUGAUGAUCGUGGGAAGGAAGAACGAUGGUAAAGGCGGUCUUUUUCGUUUCCUUCUCAAACCCUCCUUGCCUCUUCCGUCUCACAAACCUGACGAGAACGACGCAGACGGUCUCGCGUCCAUCCUAUCCUCCUCUCACCGCCGUCUGCCUUCCCUCGCCUAUGUCGUCUUACUCCAUCGUUUGCGUCAUGGAGGCCCAUGCGUGGUUUUUUGGGUGGGGAUUUCAGAUUUCAAGGGGGAGAGAGGUUGUGCUUCGUUUCGAUCUGGUCUUGGCUUCAAUAAAAUCAGCACCCACAACUGGAGGAGUCAAGAAGCCUGACUGCUACCGACCUGGAAUCGUCGCUCUUCGUGAAAAAACAUACUAAAGCAACAACAUUAUGGUGGUGGCAAUAAGCGUUCUCAGUUUGAUCGAAUCAGGUUGAAUUGAAUAAUCCUUGAAGUGACAAGAAGGAGCUGACUGAGCAAGUUUGCCUCAAGCUGGUGAAGGAAUCACGGUAACAGAGCCCAGACUAUAAGAGAAGGUGGUAGUGAAAUUGGAUUUACAUAACGACAGAGAAAAUAAAAAGGCCUUGAAAGAAGUCUCCAGCCUUACAGGUAUCAAUUUUUUCUUUUAAGCAUGUUGGUUUAAUUUGGCUCCGUGAAAAACUUAGAAUAUAAUAAAAAUGUAAAAACAAUUCCGAAUUAUUUUUCAUUCAUCAGGACCCACUAAGUUCUUUGUAUUGGUUGAUAAGUUAAUGAAAAUUUGUCAAGUUUUAUGUUUUUAUGUAUGCUUAUUGUGUAUAAAAUGAUCCGUGUCUGUAAAAAUUGAACCUUUGGCUUAUUUCUGUUCAAAAAUUAAAUUUUUCGAUCUGCUUUUUCAUAUUGUGGGAUGAUUAUUUUGUAAAAACUUGACCUUUGGCUCAUACAUGUGUAAACCUGAGGAUUUGGAGUUGUUUUCUUUGUUGGUUAUGAAUUUUAGGUGACUAAAUUGGUGGUUUCGUAUAUUAAGUUAAGUUACAAAGUAGAUUUUUCCUUCAUUUUGGAAAAGUGUGUAGCGAAGUUCCUGUUCAUUACAAUAUUAUAAUUUUGAUAAGAGCUUUGUCUACAUGUUUUUUGUUGAGUAAUGGUUUACUUGGUUAGAAGAAACUCUUUGAGGUUAUGUUAAAAUCUAUUUUGUGGAUGAAUCUAAUUAGUUAAAUUUGUCGGGUUUAUGUUAUGUAAGAAAUUAUUGCAAAGUUGAGUCUUUAUUUUUCUGAGUUAUGUUAAUAAUUCUACCUAAAUUUUUUGUAAAUUCAUGGUUGGGUUUAAGUUAUAUUAUUAAACAUGGAUCAUUAAAGUCUCAGUACAACUGGAUGUUUGUUUACUUGCACAAAUUUUUUGUGCAUAGAAGUUUGUUUCUGCUUCUCAGGUUCUUUGUCCCCGUGUUUAUUAUUUGUGUUUUUCUCUAUUCAUUUGGGCUGUCUCAGUGAUUGAAGAUCUUAGUCAAGGUUCUUUCCUUAUCAUUUCAAGCUAGAUUAGCUGAUGAGUGAUGCUCU